RNAcentral lists this unclassified non-coding RNA (843 nucleotides) under Hevea brasiliensis (rubber tree). Lineage: Eukaryota; Viridiplantae; Streptophyta; Magnoliopsida; Malpighiales; Euphorbiaceae. The record is from RNAcentral.
GAUCUUGCCUCUCCUCAUCCAUUUAACUCUUUCUCUUCGACCCAUACGAGCAAGAUCAAUAAUGGAGAUGAGCAUCACUGUGAAAGACAUGAUCAUGCUAAUUAGAGCAUAUUGGGGUUUGUGCACUGAGGAUAGCUGAUCAAAAACAGCUGAUGGAAGCUCGACAGCUAAAUUUGUGAUCAGGAAAAUCUUUUCCAGGGCUUUAUCCUGAUUUUCCAAGAAAGAGUGGCAGUAAGUUGUUAGAAUUGCGAAAAGUACACCAAGGUUAUAAUCAUAGAACUUAUGCCAUUCUUGCCUAGCCAAAUUAGAAAUUAGGGUUAGGAAAUUGGAUAGUAUACCACCGCUCAAUUCUACACAAUUCAGGGUCUUCCAACGAACAUAAAUAAAUAAAUAAAUGAAUACCCUUCGAAUAUUGGAGCCAUCCUUCCUGUUCUGCUUCUUUUCUUGAUCAUCACCAAUGCGGAGGGCAUCCUCUGAUUCAGUCAAACUAUCUUCUAUUACCCUUUGGUUCAAAGCAUUUGCUGGGCAGUGUGAUUCCAAGUCUCCUUUCUCAUUAGCAUCUUUUAUAUCUAUACGGGUGUCAACAUCGUCGAACGGCUGACGAACAGAAGACUUAGUUUCCAACUCACUCAUUACUGGAUGAUGGAGAUCUUGAAGAUAUAGCUAGACCUGUGGAUGAUCGUUGAAGGAUUUAGAUUGCUAGCUUCCGCAUCUGCUUCUGCCCCUGCCAGUCUCCUUACACACUGCGCAUGGUGUACGCUAUAGAGGAUAGACCUGAAAGUCUUUUCCUGUUGCAACCCCGCCACGAAGCAAGAACUUUUUCAAAAGGUCGGCUGGGGACAA